This 388-nucleotide ribosomal RNA is filed under the name uncultured eukaryote. RNAcentral's name for it is "partial 18S ribosomal RNA". It matches the Rfam family "Eukaryotic small subunit ribosomal RNA", at positions 592 to 976 of the family's 1831-position model. The record is from RNAcentral.
CAAUAGCGUAUAUUAAAGUUGUUGCAGUUAAAAAGCUCGUAGUUGGAUUUCUGAUCGAGACAUCAGGCCGGGUCCGAGAGGAUCAUGUACUUUGAUUUUGUUUUGAUCAUCCUUGGGGAGAGCAUUUCUGGCAUUCAGUUGUCGGGAUUGGGAUCCUCAUCGUUUACUGUGAAAAAAUUAGAGUGUUCAAAGCAGGCCUCGGCCUCUGAAUACAUUAGCAUGGAAUAAUAAGAUAGGACUUUGGUGGUCUAUUUUGUUGGUUUGCACGCCAAAGUAAUGAUUAAUAGGGAUAGUUGGGGGUAUUCGUAUUCAAUUGUCAGAGGUGAAAUUCUUGGAUUUAUGGAAGACGAACUACUGCGAAAGCAUUUACCAAGGAUGUUUUCAUUAA